CGCUGGCGGCACGCCUUAUACAUGCAAGUCGAACGAAGUAGCAAUACUUAGUGGCAGACGGGUGAGUAACAUGUGGGUAUCUUCCCUUUGGUGAGGAAUAACACGAGGAAACUUGUGCUAAUACCUCAUAAGUCUUUACGGAGAAAGCUUUAUGCGCCAAUGGAUGAGCCCGCACUUGAUUAGUUUGUUGGUGGGGUAAUGGCCUACCAAGACUUUGAUCAAUAGCUGAUCUGAGAGGAUGAUCAGCCACAUUGGGACUGAGACACGGCCCAAACUCCUACGGGAGGCAGCAGUAGGGAAUAUUGCACAAUGGAGGAAACUCUGAUGCAGCGAUGCCGCGUGAGUGAAGAAGGCCUUUGGGUUGUAAAGCUCUUUCGUCGGGGAAGAAAAUGACUGUACCCGAAUAAGAAGGUCCGGCUAACUUCGUGCCAGCAGCCGCGGUAAUACGAAGGGACCUAGCGUAGUUCGGAAUUACUGGGCUUAAAGAGUUCGUAGGUGGUUAAAAAAGUUGGUUGUGAAAUCCCGGAGCUUAACUCCGGAACUGCAAUCAAAACUUUUUAGCUAGAGUAUGAUAGAGGAAAGCAGAAUUUCUAGUGUAGAGGUGAAAUUCGUAGAUAUUAGAAAGAAUACCAAUUGCGAAGGCAGCUUUCUGGAUCAUUACUGACACUGAGGAACGAAAGCAUGGGUAGCGAAGAGGAUUAGAUACCCUCGUAGUCCAUGCCGUAAACGAUGUGUGUUAGACGUUGGAAAUUUAUUUUUAGUGUCGCAGCGAAAGCAAUAAACACACCGCCUGGGGAGUACGACCGC
This 807-nucleotide ribosomal RNA is filed under the name uncultured Pelagibacteraceae bacterium. RNAcentral describes it as "bacterial SSU rRNA". It matches the Rfam family "Bacterial small subunit ribosomal RNA", at positions 34 to 889 of the family's 1533-position model. The record is from RNAcentral. Lineage: Bacteria; Pseudomonadati; Pseudomonadota; Alphaproteobacteria; Candidatus Pelagibacterales; Candidatus Pelagibacteraceae.